UUUAUCUAAUGUAGUUUAUAUAUCAUUGACUCAUCUGUUAUUCUUCUCUUUCAUGUGACCAGUUUAGCUCUUAUUAACUGAAAACUUGAAUGUACUUGGCACAGUUCCAAACUGUGGCUUUCUUGAAGCCGCUUGAAAGGGGAGGGGGGUAUUUUUUUUUUGCAAAAGCUCUAUAGGGUGUAAGACGGUGGAAUAAAAGGCAGAAAGAAAGAUGGCAGUAAUUGUAAUAUCCUGAGAUUUUUUAGCUCAGCCAAAAAUUCCUGCCAUUGAGCAAGUUUCACAGGGCUGCCACUGACUCGCUGCAGGACACAUAAAAUCUGAUCAAGUUCAGAGACGCGCUGAGUGCUUCAAGCGGCGCUUUUUAACUCCAAGCCAUUCACAUCCUUUCCCCCUCAAUCUGUCCCAGGAAGGAGCUCACAUUCUUUAUUUUAAGGGAUCUGGACCAAAAAAAAUCUUCAAAUCAUUCCUUCAUUCUACCUUCGCCCUCACCCUACCACAUUCACCCCAGAACAUUUCCUCGAGAAAGAGUUAUAGAUUGAAAAGGUCCUCUUGUUCCUCCGUCUCAUCUAUCUCUACCCCUGCAGCUCCUGGCUAUCUUCACCCUCUAUGGCUCCUUCAUGAUGGCCCCCUAAUCUCUACCAGUGUGGUUCCAUGAUAGGUCGCGUCUGAGGGGUUCGUUAUCAAGGCAUCAAUGGUGAUAACAACGCAUACCUAGGGCAACUGAAACAAUAAACAAAUGUUGAUUCUCAAGGAAAAGAUUGAACAAAAGUAUGCAUUGCAAGUCGGCUGUGUAAUCAAGCCUGUGAACUCGACAUCUGAAGGAAGGAUUCGUUUUCUGAUCACAUCCCUAUUGAAGACCGUCCAAUUGCUGAACAUGGUUGUGGUGACGCACUCAGGCGUGCAAUCCUUGGUUUCACUCUGCCAGCAGCCUGCACACUGAGGCCGUCGAGCCAUUAAUGAGCCCCAGCUCCGAUAAUGAAGACACAGAGGUGGUCUGAGCCAGUGUGGCACAGGAGCUGGAGCACAGGAGGAAGGUAGAUUAGGAUAAUUACCUGGCCACGGGGGAACCAUCAGAAAGAUGUCUCACAACCUGCAGGCCUUGAUCGAAGGAGCAAUAUAAUGAGGUGCGGACACCCUUUGCUCGGAAAGGAAAGAAUAAAGGAAAAUUGAAAAAUUAGUUUCUUAUAAUCGAAAUGUGACAUGUAUUUUUCAUUUCUGUGUGACAGUUAUUGCUCGUUCUGUUUUCUCAAGUUCUCUCCACCACCCUUACAUGUACUGUAUGUUUAUGUAUUUGUUUUAUAGCUGUGCUAGAUGUCUCACACAUACUAUACCUAAGUCCUAAAUAUCCACACUCACUGAUACUUUGAAGAGCCUAUGAGGUCAGGUUUUAAAUUAUGGUCUGCACCCACUCCAAGCUUUCUCGUCCCACUCCUGUAAAUCCAUUUUCCACACAAUGCAUUUCAAAUCAAAGCAGCGUCGCCAUAACAGGCCUUAGGAAACAUUAAGCCAUAGUGCAGUACUUUCAUGUGUGAUAGCAUAUCCCCUGUAUGCUUUGAUGUGCUCACUUUUUUAAUGCUUUAUUAAUAAUAACACACUGGGUCUUUCUCACACCAACAUCAGCUACUGGUGCUCCUUUCUCUACUCCUGAACUACACCCCUCACUCCUUCCACCAUGCCUCAGCUUCUGCCUCACUCCACAGCCCCUGAGCCCUGUCUCAGGAUUGGCCUGUUUGUGUUUGGGAGGGGGAUUAGAGGGAAUGACAUGGGCCUCCAGAUGAAGAGAGUGGCACAGACCUAUCAGAGGGCAGAGAGUAUGGAGCGCUGCAUCACCAUUGGUUGCUGCAGAAAUCAGACACGUCUUUAUUUCUUGCAGCCAUCCUCUCCGAAUAGCCCAGCUUUCAUUUCCACGCCCGGGGAGGGAAGCAGGG
Long non-coding RNA from Notothenia coriiceps (black rockcod), 1928 nucleotides. RefSeq lists it as uncharacterized. The transcript is spliced from 5 exons. The record is from RefSeq and is a predicted model, not a curated record. Lineage: Eukaryota; Metazoa; Chordata; Actinopteri; Perciformes; Nototheniidae.